Molecule: ribosomal RNA, 254 nt
Filed under: uncultured bacterium
Lineage: Bacteria
Description: partial 16S ribosomal RNA
Rfam family: Bacterial small subunit ribosomal RNA
Source: RNAcentral
UACGGGGGGAGCAAGCGUUGUUCGGAUUUACUGGGCGUAAAGGGCGCGUAGGCGGUCAGCACAAGUCAGUUGUGAAAUCUCCGGGCUUAACUCGGAAAGGUCAACUGAUACUGUGCGACUAGAGUGCGGAAGGGGCAACUGGAAUUCUCGGUGUAACGGUGAAAUGCGUAGAUAUCGAGAGGAACACCUGCGGCGAAGGCGGGUUGCUGGGCCGACACUGACGCUGAUGCGCGAAAGCCAGGGGAGCGAACGGG